GCCCUGAUAGUGUAGUCCGGUCUAUCAUGUUGCCCUGUCGAGGCAACGACCCGGGUUCGAAUCCCGGUUAGGGCG
RNAcentral lists this transfer RNA (75 nucleotides) under archaeon. RNAcentral's name for it is "tRNA-Asp". It matches the Rfam family "tRNA". From Rfam's summary of the family: Transfer RNA (tRNA) molecules are approximately 80 nucleotides in length. Their secondary structure includes four short double-helical elements and three loops (D, anti-codon, and T loops). Further hydrogen bonds mediate the characteristic L-shaped molecular structure. tRNAs have two regions of fundamental functional importance: the anti-codon, which is responsible for specific mRNA codon recognition, and the 3' end, to which the tRNAs corresponding amino acid is attached (by aminoacyl-tRNA synthetases). tRNAs cope with the degeneracy of the genetic code in two manners: having more than one tRNA (with a specific anti-codon) for a particular amino acid; and 'wobble' base-pairing, i.e. permitting non-standard base-pairing at the 3rd anti-codon position. The record is from RNAcentral.